RNAcentral lists this ribosomal RNA (862 nucleotides) under uncultured organism. Its description in RNAcentral is "bacterial SSU rRNA". It matches the Rfam family "Archaeal small subunit ribosomal RNA", at positions 477 to 1338 of the family's 1478-position model. The record is from RNAcentral.
CAGCACCUCAAGUGGUCAGGAUGAUUAUUGGGCCUAAAGCAUCCGUAGCCUGCCCUGUAAGUUUUCGGUUAAAUCUGUAUGCUCAACAUACAGGCCGCCGGGAAUACUGCAGGGCUAGGGAGUGGGAGAGGUAGACGGUACUCGGGAGGAAGUGGUAAAAUGCUUUGAUCUCUCGAUGACCACCUGUGGCGAAGGCGGUCUACCAGAACACGUCCGACGGUGAGGGAUGAAAGCUGGGGGAGCAAACCGGAUUAGAUACCCGGGUAGUCCCAGCCGUAAACUAUGCAAACUCAGUGAUGCAUUGGCUUGUGGCCAAUGCAGUGUUGCAGGGAAGCCGUUAAGUUUGCCGCCUGGGAAGUACGUACGCAAGUAUGAAACUUAAAGGAAUUGGCGGGGGAGCACCACAAGGGGUGAAGCCUGCGGUUCAAUUGGAGUCAACGCCAGAAAUCUUACCCGGAGAGACAGCAGAAUGAAGGUCAAGCUGAAGACUUUACCAGACAAGCUGAGAGGUGGUGCAUGGCCGUCGCCAGCUCGUGCCGUGAGAUGUCCUGUUAAGUCAGGUAACGAGCGAGAUCCCUGCCUCUAGUUGCCACCAUUACUCUCAGGAGUAGUGGGGCGAAUUAGCGGGACCGCCGCAGUUAAUGCGGAGGAAGGAGGGGGCCACGGCAGGUCAGUAUGCCCCGAAACUCUGGGGCCACACGCGGGCUGCAAUGGUAAUGACAAUAGGUUCCGAACCCGAAAGGAAGAGGUAAUCCAUAAACAUUACCACAGUUAUGACUGAGGGCUGCAACUCGCCCUCACGAAUAUGGAAUCCCUAGUAACUGCGUGUCAUUAUCGCGCGGUGAAUACGUCCCUGCUCCUU